Molecule: ribosomal RNA, 439 nt
Filed under: uncultured bacterium
Lineage: Bacteria
Description: partial 16S ribosomal RNA
Rfam family: Bacterial small subunit ribosomal RNA
Source: RNAcentral
CUACGGGUGGCUGCAGUGGGGAAUAUUGCACAAUGGAGGAAACUCUGAUGCAGCAACGCCGCGUGGAGGAUGACACUUUUCGGAGCGUAAACUCCUUUUAUAUAGGAAGAAGAUGACGGUACUAUAUGAAUAAGCGCCGGCUAACUCCGUGCCAGCAGCCGCGGUAAUACGGAGGGCGCAAGCGUUACUCGGAACCACUGGGCGUAAAGAGCGUGUAGGCGGAUUAAAAAGUCAGAAGUGAAAUCCUAUUGCUUAACUAUAGAACUGCUUCUGAAACUCUUAAUCUAGAAUAUGGGAGAGGUAGAUGGAAUUUCUGGUGUAGGGGUAAAAUCCGUAGAGAUCAGAAGGAAUACCGAUUGCGAAGGCGAUCUACUAGAACAUUAUUGACGCUGAGACGCGAAAGCGUGGGGAGCAAACAGGAUUAGAUACCCCAGUAGUC